AUUGAACGCUGGCGGCAUGCCUUACACAUGCAAGUCGAACGGUAACAGGUCUUCGGAUGCUGACGAGUGGCGAACGGGUGAGUAAUACAUCGGAACGUGCCCGAUCGUGGGGGAUAACGAAGCGAAAGCUUUGCUAAUACCGCAUACGAUCUACGGAUGAAAGCAGGGGACCGCAAGGCCUUGCGCGAACGGAGCGGCCGAUGGCAGAUUAGGUAGUUGGUGGGAUAAAAGCUUACCAAGCCGACGAUCUGUAGCUGGUCUGAGAGGACGACCAGCCACACUGGGACUGAGACACGGCCCAGACUCCUACGGGAGGCAGCAGUGGGGAAUUUUGGACAAUGGGCGAAAGCCUGAUCCAGCCAUGCCGCGUGCAGGAUGAAGGCCUUCGGGUUGUAAACUGCUUUUGUACAGAACGAAAAGACCCUGGUUAAUACCUGGGGUCCAUGACGGUACCGUAAGAAUAAGCACCGGCUAACUACGUGCCAGCCGCCGCAGUAA
This 498-nucleotide ribosomal RNA is filed under the name uncultured bacterium. RNAcentral describes it as "partial 16S ribosomal RNA". It matches the Rfam family "Bacterial small subunit ribosomal RNA", at positions 30 to 523 of the family's 1533-position model. The record is from RNAcentral.